CGAGUGGCGAACGGGUGAGUAACACGUGGAUAACCUGCCUCAAGGCUGGGGAUAACAUUUGGAAACAGAUGCUAAUACCGAAUAAAACUUAGUAUCGCAUGAUAUCAAGUUAAAAGGCGCUACGGCGUCACCUAGAGAUGGAUCCGCGGUGCAUUAGUUAGUUGGUGGGGUAAAGGCUUACCAAGACGAUGAUGCAUAGCCGAGUUGAGAGACUGAUCGGCCACAUUGGGACUGAGACACGGCCCAAACUCCUACGGGAGGCUGCAGUAGGGAAUCUUCCACAAUGGGCGCAAGCCUGAUGGAGCAACGCCGCGUGUGUGAUGAAGGCUUUCGGGUCGUAAAGCACUGUUGUAUGGGAAGAAAUGCUAAAAUAGGGAAUGAUUUUAGUUUGACGGUACCAUACCAGAAAGGGACGGCUAAAUACGUGCCAGCAGCCGCGGUAAUACGUAUGUCCCGAGCGUUAUCCGGAUUUAUUGGGCGUAAAGCGAGCGCAGACGGUUGAUUAAGUCUGAUGUGAAAGCCCGGAGCUCAACUCCGGAAUGGCAUUGGAAACUGGUUAACUUGAGUGUUGUAGAGGUAAGUGGAACUCCAUGUGUAGCGGUGGAAUGCGUAGAUAUAUGGAAGAACACCAGUGGCGAAGGCGGCUUACUGGACAACAACUGACGUUGAGGCUCGAAAGUGUGGGUAGCAAACAGGAUUAGAUACCCUGGUAGUCCACACCGUAAACGAUGAAUACUAGGUGUUAGGAGGUUUCCGCCUCUUAGUGCCGAAGCUAACGCAUUAAGUAUUCCGCCUGGGGAGUACGACCGCAAGGUUGAAACUCAAAGGAAUUGACGGGGACCCGCACAAGCGGUGGAGCAUGUGGUUUAAUUCGAAGCAACGCGAAGAACCUUACCAGGUCUUGACAUCCUUUGAAGCUUUUAGAGAUAGAAGUGUUCUCUUCGGAGACAAAGUGACAGGUGGUGCAUGGUCGUCGUCAGCUCGUGUCGUGAGAUGUUGGGUUAAGUCCCGCAACGAGCGCAACCCUUAUUGUUAGUUGCCAGCAUUCAGUUGGGCACUCUAGCGAGACUGCCGGUGACAAACCGGAGGAAGGCGGGGACGACGUCAGAUCAUCAUGCCCCUUAUGACCUGGGCUACACACGUGCUACAAUGGCGUAUACAACGAGUUGCCAACCUGCGAAGGUGAGCUAAUCUCUUAAAGUACGUCUCAGUUCGGACUGCAGUCUGCAACUCGACUGCACGAAGUCGGAAUCGCUAGUAAUCGCGGAUCAGCACGCCGCGGUGAAUACGUUCCCGGGUCUUGUACACACCGCCCGUCACACCAUGGGAGUUUGUAAUGCCCAAAGCC
This 1348-nucleotide ribosomal RNA is filed under the name Leuconostoc citreum. RNAcentral's name for it is "bacterial SSU rRNA". It matches the Rfam family "Bacterial small subunit ribosomal RNA", at positions 92 to 1428 of the family's 1533-position model. The record is from RNAcentral. Lineage: Bacteria; Bacillati; Bacillota; Bacilli; Lactobacillales; Lactobacillaceae.